RNAcentral lists this ribosomal RNA (439 nucleotides) under uncultured bacterium. RNAcentral's name for it is "partial 16S ribosomal RNA". It matches the Rfam family "Bacterial small subunit ribosomal RNA", at positions 339 to 795 of the family's 1533-position model. The record is from RNAcentral.
CUUCGGGCUGCAGCAGUGAGGAAUAUUGCACAAUGGGGGGAACCCUGAUGCAGCAACGCCGCGUGGAGGAUGACGCAUUUCGGUGUGUAAACUCCUUUUAUAUGUCAAGAAAAUGACGGUAGCAUAUGAAUAAGCACCGGCUAACUCCGUGCCAGCAGCUGCGGUAAUACGGAGGGUGCAAGCGUUACUCGGAAUCACUGGGCGUAAAGGACGCGUAGGCGGGUUGGAAAGUCAGGUGUGAAAUCCUACAGCUUAACUGUAGAACUGCACUUGAAACUUCUAAUCUAGAGUAUGGGAGGGGGAGAUGGAAUUAGUGGUGUAGGGGUAAAAUCCGUAGAUAUCACUAGGAAUACCUAAAGCGAAGGCGAUCUCCUGGAACAUUACUGACGCUAAGGCGUGAAAGCGUGGGGAGCAAACAGGAUUAGAUACCCCCGUAGUC